RNAcentral lists this non-coding RNA (24 nucleotides) under Arabidopsis thaliana (thale cress). Lineage: Eukaryota; Viridiplantae; Streptophyta; Magnoliopsida; Brassicales; Brassicaceae. The record is from RNAcentral.
GAGACGACUCAAUACGACGGUGUC